Molecule: unclassified non-coding RNA, 679 nt
Filed under: Pedicularis grandiflora
Lineage: Eukaryota; Viridiplantae; Streptophyta; Magnoliopsida; Lamiales; Orobanchaceae
Description: sequence contains ITS1, 5.8S rRNA gene and ITS2
Rfam family: 5.8S ribosomal RNA (bases 251-406)
Source: RNAcentral
CUGCGGAAGGAUCAUUGUCGAAUCCCGCAAAAUCAGACCGCGAACUCGUUAAACCACACUUGGAUCGCGGGACUCGGGGGGAACCCUUUCCCGCGCCCGCCUCUCGCACGGCGUGCCCCUCGGUGCGCGUUGUGCGGGCUAACGAACCCCGGCGCGGCCUGCGCCAAGGAUAACUCAAGAAGCUUCUGCCUCCCGUCGCCCCGUUCGCGGUGUGCGGUGGGGGGAAUUGAUGUCUCUCCAAUGUCGUAACGACUCUCGGCAACGGAUAUCUCGGCUCUCGCAUCGAUGAAGAACGCAGACNNNNNNGAUACUUGGUGUGAAUUGCAGAAUCCCGUGAACCAUCGAGUCUUUGAACGCAAGUUGCGCCCGAAGCCAUUCGGCCGAGGGCACGUCUGCCUGGGCGUCACGCAUCGCGUCGCCUCCCCUACACACUCCCCACGGGGUGAUUGGGUGUCGGGGGCGGAAAUUGGCCCCCCGUGCGCUCUAAUAAGCUGCGCGGCCGGCCUAAAUUUGAACCCGUGGCGACUCGCGUCACGACAAGUGGUGGUUGAACACUCAACUCUCGUGCUGUCGUGUCAUUUUGAGUUGGCCGUCGGGCUUCGUCGCAGUCCCAACGGCGCGAGAAUCUCGCGCCUUCGACCGCGACCCCAGGUCAGGCGGGAUUACCCGCUGAGUUUAA